GAUGUGAGGGUGAGCUGGCUAUGACAUCUGUUACCUCACUGAUUGCCAGGGUUGAUUUGGCUGAUCUGGUUGGAUAAGCAGGUAUCCCCUUCCAGUCUUUGUUC
Molecule: small nuclear RNA, 104 nt
Filed under: Erinaceus europaeus (western European hedgehog)
Lineage: Eukaryota; Metazoa; Chordata; Mammalia; Eulipotyphla; Erinaceidae
Description: 7SK RNA
Rfam family: 7SK RNA
About the family: 7SK was discovered as an abundant small nuclear RNA in the mid-70s but a possible function has only recently been suggested. Two independent studies have found that 7SK RNA binds the CDK9/cyclin T complex (known as elongation factor P-TEFb).
Source: Rfam by way of RNAcentral